UGUUGUAUGUGUUCAUGAUAGUGA
RNAcentral lists this non-coding RNA (24 nucleotides) under Arabidopsis thaliana (thale cress). Lineage: Eukaryota; Viridiplantae; Streptophyta; Magnoliopsida; Brassicales; Brassicaceae. The record is from RNAcentral.